CAGUGACCUGUUGAAUUAUAAAUACCGGAUAGAAAAGAGAAAAAUCGAUGAAAUACUUUAGUGAAUUAAUUUAGCCUAGACACUUUGGGCUUGCAAAACAAGAUGGAUCGGAAUGUUUUCAUCUGGACGAGCAAAAAAAUCCAUUACGACCGGAACACACAGUGGUGGCGGAGAAGAAUUUAUCCAUCUCUUUUUAUUCGUUGUUGACGUCAGUCCGUCGUGGCUUUCUCGGUACUUUCUCUCUGGCGUGUGUUGAAACUCGUUUAUUAGGUGAUUUUCAGAAGCUGUUUUUGCGAUCAACAGAGAGAGUGUACAUGUGAUCCAUUACGAGCCUCGUCGCUUGGCUGAACUCCGUGUGUGCUGCUGUUUGGACAGUUAUCUCUACCUUGGACUGUACACGCGUCACGAGUCAUGAAAGCUUAGAUCCGUCGAAGGUGUGUGUAUAGCUAGCUGCAAGAGAGACUCGGGGGAGUGUAGGGAAAAAACUGCCUGAUGGGCAUAAAAAAAAAGGGGAGGGGGAAUAUUACAUCCUAAAGAUAUGAGGCGGAAGUAAAAAGAAAAUGAAAGUGCUUCUGAGAGCGAACUCGUGUUCUUCUUCUUCCUUUGCACCGAUUUCUUUUUUUUGGGUAACGCUCCCGCGGCCAAGUUUGCCGGACGCUGAGCAUGCGUCUUUCAGUUGCGAAAGAAUGUUAUGCAGUUUCCUUUUUAUUUUUUAAAUCCCUAAAAAAAAACAGUGAGAAAAAUGGAGGUUUGCAAAUUGAUAACAUUGUAAGGCACCUACAUUCUCAUGGCAACAAUGGCAGAUUUAAAUUUUAAAUUAGUUUGUAUACGUACAAAGUGUCGCAGUUUUUUUUUCUUGUUCCUUAUUUUUCUUUAGAAAAUAAUAAUUAACUCGUAACAAGUUGGAGAUAAAAAAAUUAAGAAAAAGUUUCUGAAAAUGCAACGCUGUUAAUGAAAACGUCAUGAGCACAUUUCGUCGAACCCGCGAGAACUGCGAGACGAAUGUUUAAAUGUGCCAUUUCCGUCUGUUUUCAAAUGAUUUUAUGAUUUGAAAUGAUUGGCUUUUUCUUCAACUGCAUUCAAGUUGAAUGCAGGAUGAGUUUUUUCCCUUGAAAUCGGCGUGUGUGCUGGUCAAAUAGACAACAGUUCUGCUGUUGAGAGGAAAAAAGUUUGGGCUCAGUAUGACCUUGGGCCAGUGCCAGCAUCAAUAAUAACCAGCUUUUCUCGGCAGAUGCUGCAAUAUUUCCCUGAAUAUUAAUGAAGCCUCAACCAAGCAAAGAAGCCCUUUUCUCCCCGGCCCUGCAGAGAAAUUUUUUCGAUUCCUUUUUGGAAAACGUCAAUUCAACUAGAAAAGCAAGUGGCCUGCACACCCCAGCACACGAGACUAUUCGUGAUACGGUCGGGAAACCUCGGAAGAUGAAAUGGAUCGCAGGAAUAAACACAAACAAAUGGAAAUGAGUU
Molecule: long non-coding RNA, 1461 nt
Organism: Daphnia pulex (common water flea)
Lineage: Eukaryota; Metazoa; Arthropoda; Branchiopoda; Diplostraca; Daphniidae
Exons: 3
Source: RefSeq, a predicted model, not a curated record